RNA transcript from Myotis lucifugus (little brown bat), 1468 nucleotides. It is a transcript of the gene named kynurenine/alpha-aminoadipate aminotransferase, mitochondrial-like, with no coding region annotated. The transcript has 5 exons. The record is from RefSeq and is a predicted model, not a curated record. Lineage: Eukaryota; Metazoa; Chordata; Mammalia; Chiroptera; Vespertilionidae.
GUCAUGAAGACAGGCAGAUACUAAUAAAAGAACACGCAUCUGUUUUUAUUCCAUUUGAAAGGGUUUGGAUAAAGGUAAUGGAAAUGAUGGUUGUGCUACUGUUAUUUGAAUCCAUGUCCUUUCUAGUCUCUACAUGAAGGAAUUACAUAGUCACUAACAGAGUUCUCAGACCAACAGUGUUUAUCUUUUUCCACAUCAAGCCCUGGGUACCAACGUUUCUUUCCAUGGACAUUGACGGGCGUGUCAUCAGAGCGGACUCUUUCUCCAAAGUUCUGUCCUCUGGGUUGAGAAUAGGGUUUAUAACAGGACCAAAACCCUUGAUAGAGAGAGUUGUUUUGCACACACAAGUCUCAACAUUGCACCCCAGUACUUUUACACAGAGAGGAAGUGCAGUGUGGUAAUUAAUGGCAUGGAUCUGCAGCUGGGCCCUCUGACUCGAAUCCAGGCUCUGUGAUGAGCUGUGUGACCUCAGGAAAGUUAACAACCCUUGUGCCUCAUUUUCUCAUCAGUAAAAUAGAAAUAAUAGCCUGCCUAAUAAGGUCAUUACAAGGUUAAAUUAGCUAAACUAUUUUAAUGCAUUACAAUAGUUUCUGGCACAGCAAGUACUCUAUAAAUAUUUGUCACUUUAUUAGCAUUGUCUUUGUUAUUAACAUUUAUUCUAAAUCACUGACCGACUAAAGCUUGGUUGGGUCAGCUUGUUCUGUUUUCUUAUGAUGGUUUACGUAGACUCAAGAGUGACUGGCAGAAAACACAUGGUAGAGGAUGAAGCAUGACACCUGUUAUUGUCUCACCUCUUUCAGCUCGUGGUAUCACAGCUUCUUCACCAGUGGGGACAGGAGGGCUUCCUGGCUCACAUAGAGAGGGUUAUUGAUUACUAUAGGAAGCAGAAGGAUGCAUUACUGAAAGCUGCAGACAAGUGGUUAAGUGGUUUGGCAGAGUGGCAUGCUCCUACUGCUGGGAUGUUUGUAUGGAUUAAAAUUAAGGGCAUUUCUGAUGCAAAAAAACUGAUUGAAGAAAAAGCCAUUAAGAAAGAGGUAAAAAGGCAGAAAUAGUUAUACUGUUACUUUAAUGUAAUUUCUUACUUAAAUAAAAAUGGAGAGAGAUGUUUAUCAUUGCCUACCACCCCAACUCAUCAUGUUUUAAUAUCAGAUAUGUUAUCUCAUUAUUAAAAUCAUAAUAGAUUGUUGGGUUACAUAAUUAUUAUUCUGGUCUAAAUUAAUGGAAAUAUAGUCAUUGAUCUCAGCUGCUGAUUGGUUUCAUGGCUAAGAGCACAGUCCCUGGAGCCACACUCCUUAGGUUUGAAUCCCAUUUUCACCCUUUACUGGAUGUGUGGCUUUGGGUAAGUUACCCUCCCUGCGUUUCAGUAAUAAUGAGACUUUCUCCCUCAUAAUGUUGUUAUGAUAAUUUAGUAAAUAUAUAUAAAGCACAUAGACUAGUAAAUACUCAAUAGGUAUUAGCCUUUAGUAUU